RNAcentral lists this unclassified non-coding RNA (332 nucleotides) under soil metagenome. RNAcentral's name for it is "partial contains 5.8S ribosomal RNA, internal transcribed spacer 2, and large subunit ribosomal RNA". The stretch from base 1 to 120 matches the Rfam family "5.8S ribosomal RNA", at positions 35 to 154 of the family's 154-position model. The record is from RNAcentral.
GAUGAAGAACGCAGCGAAAAGCGAUAAGUAAUGUGAAUUGCAGAAUUCAGUGAAUCAUCGAAUCUUUGAACGCACAUUGCGCCCCCUGGUAUUCCGGGGGGCAUGCCUGUUCGAGCGUCAUUUCACCACUCAAGCCUCGCUUGGUAUUGGGCGACGCGGUCCGCCGCGCGCCUCAAAUCGACCGGCUGGGUCUUCCGUCCCCUCAGCGUUGUGGAAACUAUUCGCUAAAGGGUGCCGCGGGAGGUCACGCCGCAAAACAACCCCAUUUCUAAGGUUGACCUCGGAUCAGGUAGGGAUACCCGCUGAACUUAAGCAUAUCAAUAAGCGGAGGA